This 253-nucleotide ribosomal RNA is filed under the name uncultured bacterium. RNAcentral describes it as "partial 16S ribosomal RNA". It matches the Rfam family "Bacterial small subunit ribosomal RNA", at positions 524 to 776 of the family's 1533-position model. The record is from RNAcentral.
UACGAAGGGGGCUAGCGUUGUUCGGAAUCACUGGGCGUAAAGGGCGCGUAGGCGGCUGUUCAAGUCGGGGGUGAAAUCCCGUGGCUCAACCACGGAAUGGCCUUCGAUACUGGACGGCUAGAGACCGGAAGAGGUGAGUGGAACUGCGAGUGUAGCAGUGAAAUGCGUAGAUAUCGAGAGGAACACCAGUGGCGAAGGCGAGUCCCUGGACAACUCCUGACGCUGAGGCACGAAAGCUAGGGGAGCAAACAGG